UUUAUAAAGGAAGAAGUUGCUCAUAUAAUGGCUAGUUUCCCGGCGUCCCAUUCAUAACUUGGCGAACGGUAGAUUACGACGGCCUUUGUUCCAGUUACACGUUUCUACUACUGUUCAUCCGACCAUUUACUGGCAAUCAUAAAACGCAGUGAAGUCAAUGUUUCGCUAAAUUUCGGGAUACCAGCAACAGCUCACAAUCAGUCGAAGCGAUCGGCCGGUAAAAACUAUUUCGGUUCGUUUCAACUUUGCCACCAUGUCGUUCCUAAUUAUAGUCGUCAUUAGUAUUUUUGGGAUAUGCCUGUCACCAGCAGACAAGGCAUUCUCACUUGAAAGCUAUGCAGAUGGAGCUCCGCGUUGUAAUAGCACGUACGGACUGGAUGUACACAAAGAGAAUCAUCUGGUUGGCAAAUUCUCAACAGCGAAUUGCUCGGACGGGCGUGUGCAAAAGGCAGUGAAAACCGCAAACCUGGCACCGGAAGACGUUUACGGAGUUACCUCUCAAAUAGUUGCAGGAACUAAAUACGUGAUCUAUACCAACCGGAGGGAAUCGUCCUGCUGUCGAGUUCCAGUAUGGUCUCAACCUUCGGGAAAAAACGAGGUGGUUGCUGACGAAGUUUGUUGUGAUGACGAAAGUUGCGCCAGAUACGUGGAGAAAUGCUAGACAUGCUGCAGUAAUUAUGUUAUUUUCGUUCAUUCUCCUUGAUAUUCGAACUGUCAGCAUAAUUAUAGAAAGAAAUAGUAAACACUAUCUCAAUCACAACAAAGAGUUUAGCAGAUUCGAGUUCUUUAAUAAAUUGGCAUAUUAUUGCAUACAAA
Molecule: long non-coding RNA, 816 nt
Organism: Varroa destructor (honeybee mite)
Lineage: Eukaryota; Metazoa; Arthropoda; Arachnida; Mesostigmata; Varroidae
Source: RefSeq, a predicted model, not a curated record